CACGUAGGGUGCGAGCGUUGUCCGGAAUUAUUGGGCGUAAAGAGCUCGUAGGCGGUGUGUCGCGUCGGCCGUGAAAACCUGCAGCUUAACUGUGGGCGUGCGGGCGAUACGGGCAGACUGGAGUACUGCAGGGGAGACUGGAAUUCCUGGUGUAGCGGUGAAAUGCGCAGAUAUCUGGGAGGAACACCGGGUGGCGAAGGCGACAUCCUGGACCGGUAUUGACGCUGAGGCGCGAAAGCCAGGGGAGCAAACGGG
RNAcentral lists this ribosomal RNA (255 nucleotides) under uncultured bacterium. RNAcentral's name for it is "partial 16S ribosomal RNA". It matches the Rfam family "Bacterial small subunit ribosomal RNA", at positions 524 to 776 of the family's 1533-position model. The record is from RNAcentral.